This 410-nucleotide long non-coding RNA is filed under the name Equus caballus (horse). RNAcentral's name for it is "lncRNA (ENSECAG00000049086.1)". The record is from RNAcentral. Lineage: Eukaryota; Metazoa; Chordata; Mammalia; Perissodactyla; Equidae.
GUCCGUAUCAGCACGCCUGGACCAGCUCAGAACAACGGCCCCCACCAAUGUCUCAGUCUCUGGAGAGGACCCUCCUCUCACCAAGAUGCCCCCAGAGCCCACCAGGUAACUUGAGGAUUUGUUGAUCAGAUGUGGUUAUAUUUGUGAUCCUUGUUGAUGUCUUUUUGCAAGACGUAGGAGAUGUUUGGGAAGAUUUGGAAGAAGACAGCCACCAUUAUGCUUCAAACUUGUAAGUCCCAACAUAGAAUUAAUUUAAAAGAGAAAGGAGCUGUUAAUGUUGAGAUGGAAAAAAAAGAUUCUAUUUCUUCUAGAUUCUAUUUCCCAAAUGUCUCCCAAUGUCUUCUCUCCAUUUGGCAUCUCCUACUGUAAUCUAGAUGCUAAUUAUGUCUUGACUAUAUCAGUGCAAAGCC